GAUGAACGCUGGCGGCGUGCCUAAUACAUGCAAGUCGAGCGAACAGACGAGGAGAUUGCUCCUCUGACGUUAGCGGCGGACGGGUGAGUAACACGUGGAUAACCUACCUAUAAGACUGGGAUAACUUCGGGAAACCGGAGCUAAUACCGGAUAAUAUAUUGAACCGCAUGGUUCAAUAGUGAAAGACGGUUUUGCUGUCACUUAUAGAUGGAUCCGCGCCGCAUUAGCUAGUUGGUAAGGUAACGGCUUACCAAGGCAACGAUGCGUAGCCGACCUGAGAGGGUGAUCGGCCACACUGGAACUGAGACACGGUCCAGACUCCUACGGGAGGCAGCAGUAGGGAAUCUUCCGCAAUGGGCGAAAGCUUGACGGAGCAACGCCGCGUGAGUGAUGAAGGUCUUCGGAUCGUAAAACUCUGUUAUUAGGGAAGAACAAAUGUGUAAGUAACUAUGCACGUCUUGACGGUACCUAAUCAGAAAGCCACGGCUAACUACGUG
This 497-nucleotide ribosomal RNA is filed under the name uncultured bacterium. RNAcentral describes it as "partial 16S ribosomal RNA". It matches the Rfam family "Bacterial small subunit ribosomal RNA", at positions 28 to 507 of the family's 1533-position model. The record is from RNAcentral.